UUUUGUCUGAGGAGAUUUGGCAAAGCAUCAUAUAGAUGUAUAUAUGAAAUUAAAUUUCUUAUAUGGAGCUUUUAGCUAUGGAGAAAACGAAUUGCAUCUCACAUAAAUGGGAUGAGACUUAGCUAUUUGUAACCUCGUUACAAUGAAAUAACUAAAAUUGUAAAGAGACAUUAAAUAAUAAUCUGCCUGCCUAAACAUGGGUUUUCUAGUUUGAAAUGAAUGCCUUGCAUCUAGAUUAAUAAGGUGACGCAAGACACUACAUCAUCUGGCAGGGGAAGAUUUAAAGCAGGUCAGGUUCCUUGGGAGGAGAGAAAAAUAACUUUUAAGAUGAAAGACCAAAAAAAAAAAGAAAAAAAAAAGAAAAAGAAAAACUUGUGUGUGGUC
Molecule: long non-coding RNA, 384 nt
Filed under: Homo sapiens (human)
Lineage: Eukaryota; Metazoa; Chordata; Mammalia; Primates; Hominidae
Description: HSALNT0147158
Source: RNAcentral